CCAAACCCAACCCUCCGUCAGUUUAUUCCCUCCUGUCCUGCUCCGGGAAUUCCGAGUCCUGCUCCGGCCCCAACGUCACCUUCGGCUGCUUCGCCUCCAACUUCUUCCCUCCCCCUUUGACCCUUUCCUGGGAAGGUUUGGGAUCGAAUUUGGGGUCGGGAUUCGGCUCCCGGAAUUUCCAGGAGGUUCAGGUGGGAUCCGGAUCCUACGGGAUGAGCUCCAGGGUCACCUUGGGAGAGGAGGAGGCCAAGGACGGGACGUUCGAGUGCCGGGCCCAGCACGAGGCCACCGGGAGCAGCGUCGGCGUCGGGAUACACGACAUCUGCCCCAUCCCGACCCCCCGCGUCACCCUCCUGAGCGACCCCACAACCUCUGACUCCAAGAAUUCCGACAACUCCGACGUCCUCCUCCUCUGCCUCGUCGAGGGGCGGGGCUCCGACCACGCCCACGUCACGUGGCUGGCCAAGGGGGAGGAGCUUAAGGUGGACCAGGAAGUGGCCACCUGCGAGGGCCACGCCCUCAGCAGCCGCGUCAACGUCAGCCGGAAGCUCUGGGAUUUGGGGGCCACCUUCACCUGCCGGGUGGCCCUGGACGGGCUGGAGGGGACGGUGGAGGACUCCAUCAGCACCUUCUGCUCCGGCGCUCCGACGGUGUCCGUGACCCUCCUUCCCCCCUCCUUGGAAGACCUUUAUUUAUCCCAAAACUCUUCGUUGACCUGCGUGGCCUCCAACCUCAACUCGGCGUCGGGCGUCGAGUUCUCGUGGCGCCGAAGCUCCGGAGCCGCCGCGAAUCCGGAGGCGCCGACGACGGAAAAGAUGGAAAACGGGUUGUACAGGAUGGAAUCCAGGCUGAGGGUUUGUGCCGAGGAGUGGAAUUCCGGGGAGACUUUCUACUGUGGGGUUCACGUGGAGGAUCUGGGAGCGGAGCAGCCGCCGGAGAGGAGCCUCCGCAAGGAGAUCG
Neopelma chrysocephalum (saffron-crested tyrant-manakin) is the source of this 960-nucleotide non-coding RNA. NCBI's taxonomy places the organism in Eukaryota, Metazoa, Chordata, Aves, Passeriformes, Pipridae. The record is from the annotation of a RefSeq genome assembly.